Molecule: long non-coding RNA, 1331 nt
Filed under: Phasianus colchicus (ring-necked pheasant)
Lineage: Eukaryota; Metazoa; Chordata; Aves; Galliformes; Phasianidae
Description: lncRNA (ENSPCLG00000014454.1)
Source: RNAcentral
GGGAUUUGGGGUGAUCCUAAAGUUGUGUUAGGGCAGCAGACCCCAAAAUGUCCCAAAUUUACCCCAAAAUGUCCCAAAUUUGUCCCAAAUUAUCCAAAAUCAGGCCCAAAAUGUCCAAAAUUUGCCCCAAAUUGUUCCAAAAUGGCAGAAAUUUGACCCCAAAUUGGAGUCCAAAAUCGGAUCGCGGAUGUUGACCCCAAUGGGGAUUUGGGGGGAUCCCAAAGCUGUAUUAGGAUUGGAGACCCCAAAAAGUCCCAAAUUUACCCCAAAAUAUCCCAAGUUUGUCCCAAAUUAUCUGAAUUUGAUCCGAAAUAUUGAAAAUUUGACCCAAAUUGUUCCAAAAUGGCAGAAAUUUGAACCAAAAUUGGAGCCAAAAUCAGAUCGCUGACGUUGACCCCAAUGGGGAUUUGGGGGGAUCCCAAAGCUGUAUUAGGGCUGGAGACCCCAAAAUGUCCCAAAUUUACCCCAAAAUGUCCCAAAUUUGUCCCAAAUUAUCCCAAAUUUGUUCCAAAAUAUCCAAAAUUUGCCCCAAAUUGUUCCAAAAUGGCAGAAAUUUGACCCCAAAUUGGAUCGCUGACGUUGACCCCAAUGGGGAUUUGGGGGGAUCCCAAAGCUGUAUUAGGGCUGGAGACCCCAAAAAGUCCCAAAUUUACCCCAAAAUAUCCCAAAUUUGCCCCAAAUUAUCCAAAAUUUGACCCAAAUUUGCCCAAAUUCCCCAGAAUUGACCCCAAAACUUGACCCCGUGCUUUGAGGCUCUAAAAGCGCUCAAAAUACCCCAAAAUGCCCCAAAAUUGACCCAAAUUUUGGUGUUAAUUUUUUGACACAGCGAGGAUCCUCAAAAAUAUCCAUUUUCCUCACAGAAUUUGCCCAAAUUCCCCAGAAUUUACCCCAAAACUUGACCCCGUGCUUUGAGGCUCUAAAAGUGCUCAAAAUACCCCAAAAUGCCCCAAAAUGGACCCAAAUUUUGCUGUUAAUUUUUUGACACAGCGAGGAUCCCCAAAAAUAUCCAUUUUCCUCACAGAAUUUGCCCAAAUUCCCCAGAAUUUACCCCAAAACUUGACCCCGUGCUUUGAGGCUCUAAAAGCGCUCAAAAAAACCCCAAAACGCCCCAAAAUGGACCCAAAUUUUGGUGGCAAUUUGGGGACAAAACGGAGAUCCCAAAAAUACCCAUUUUCCCCACACAAAUUGCCCAAAUUCCCUCGAAUUUACCCCAAAAAUCCAACCCCCCCCUUUUUCAAACCCCGGAACGCCCCGAAACUCCCCAAAAUUGCCCAUUUUCGGCUUUUUUCCCCCUAUUUAUCCCCUCUCGCCUUUUUGGGGGGGGGAGGGGU